AGAUCAGCUAACAAUCUGGUUUUUAUCAAAUAUUUACACUGAGACACUAAAAACGAUCAGAGUUUAGAUUUACAGACUGCAUCACCAAAUGAUGGAUCUGACCUCCAUUCAACAAACAAACAUUGUCAAAGUAGUUUUCUUCUCCUCUUGAGGACAGACCUGACAAAGCUGGACUUCGGACUGAUCUGGAUCAUGGUGUUGUUAUUUCAGCAAAUUGAAGACCUACUAUUGAGGAGAACAUCAGUUUCUGUUUCAGGUUCAUACUACUGAAGGAAACCAGAGUGACGCCUCUGAGAGACUACUUACAGAGAAACUGAACUCAACACAAACAGACGAAGAGUUUUCCUGUAGGUGAUCUCAUGAACAUCAAAAAGUGAACAGUUUGUAGUCCAAACAGAUACAUAGAGGGAUGAAUUUCUCCUUACAUUAAAUCCAAACACAUGGCUUCUUUCUCAACUAUGCCGCGCUCAGAAAAGGAAGUCUUGGUUGGAAGUUGUUCAUUUCUAACUGUUGGCUGCACAUGAGUGUCUGAAAAGUUGGCCAUCAGCUGUUUUUUGUAGCUGCAUCAUUGAACACAGAGUCAGGAGGGGGAACAGCUUCAGAGGGUGUAAACCUGAAAGAACAUUUCUGAGGUUUUAACCAGAGCUGUGACCCGAGCUGCCGAGAGAUGGUUUUAAAGAACUUGUCAGGGUAAGGACUCCUAGUUUUAUGGGUUUUAACUGGAACAGAAUGAUCAGCAGACUCCUCCUAGAAUUAAAUCCAGUAUCAAAUCAGGGGUUAGGUAUGCUCUGAAUGUCUGCUUCACAAUGUUAGAGUUGUUAGAUGCUUUCAAUCAGGUUUUGAGUUUUAAUAUCACAAACAUUUUCUGGAACUGCACACCACAACAUAAAAUUAAAUAGGUGAGCAUGUCCUCUUCAUGUAAUCCUGGUUCAGACAGCAGGGCCGAUUGAGUCACGAUUUGAGGUGCAGGAGGAGCUUCUGUUGUUCCUAAAGAGGUUUCUUUCCACCACUCAUCAGUGAAGUUAAUUCCCAACCUCAGCUCCCUUAAAGCCCAUUACGCUCCCCUCAUCAAAUGAAGAGAGCUGGAUGUGGAUCUGGGAGAUUGGUGGCUUUUGUUGAGUUCAGAGAGGUCCUCUCGGGGCUGCAGAGAGGCUGUUAAAUGUAUUUUUAAACAAUAGUGGAGAGUCCCAACCUCUGUUUUAUCUUUCCUGGUUAAUUAGAGACAUAUGAGCCUCUUUCUCCUUUACCCAAAGGCACAAAGACAAAUCUGAUAUGACUAUCCAACCAAACAUGUAAGUGCUGAUUUACUCAGACUUGAGCUUUACAUGUUUAUCUGAAAGGAGUAUUGCACAAUAUUGGACAAAUAUGAAAAAAGCUUUUCUUUUCAUUCAGUAAAAGUACUGGGAGAUGAAAAAUGUAGGAAUCAGACUAAAUAUAUGCAGAGUGUUAAUGAAUAAUUUAAAACUCUAAUAAAGCCCCUACAGUUUUUAAUUAUUUGGGUUUCUAGGUCUACCUUUAAAUGAGUUCUGCUCUCACUUUACCACACCGUGUCCUGCCCUCUUAUCUGCUCCAGGUCCAGCUCACUGAAUCAAGCAUCUGCAGCGUCAUCUGUGAUGUCCACAGCUUUGUGUGCAUGUUUGAGUUCAAUGGUCGUGUCACAUAGACACACACUCUACAAACGCAGCAGCUGCAUUUAAGUGAUAUCAGGCAGAGUUUUAUGAAUGUUCAAUCAUGCAUCAUGGCAGCAGGAUGUAUUUCAGGUCCGAGGGUGGAAAUUUGUCCCACGGUGAGCGUAACUGUAGAGUUCAUAUGAUAAUCUUUCAGUCCUAAAGGAAAAGUUAACUCUGUCAGUUCAUGCUUUAUU
Xyrichtys novacula (pearly razorfish) is the source of this 1864-nucleotide non-coding RNA. NCBI's taxonomy places the organism in Eukaryota, Metazoa, Chordata, Actinopteri, Labriformes, Labridae. The record is from the annotation of a GenBank genome assembly.